CAGCUUGUUGGAGAGGUAACGGCUCACCAAGGCUUCGACGGGUAGCUGGUCUGAGAGGAUGAUCAGCCACACUGGAACUGAGACACGGUCCAGACUCCUACGGGAGGCAGCAGUGGGGAAUCUUGCACAAUGGGCGCAAGCCUGAUGCAGCGAUGCCGCGUGCGGGAAGAAGGCCCUAGGGUUGUAAACCGCUUUCAGGAGGGAAGAAAAUGACGGUACCACCAGAAGAAGGUGCGGCCAACUACGUGCCAGCAGCCGCGGUAACACGUAGGCACCAAGCGUUAUCCGGAUUUAUUGGGCGUAAAGAGCUCGUAGGCGGUUCAGUCAGUCGGGUGUGAAAACUUGAGGCUUAACCUCAAGAGGUCACUCGAUACUGCUGUGACUAGAGUGCGGUAGGGGAGAUUGGAAUUCCUGGUGUAGCGGUGGAAUGCGCAGAUAUCAGGAGGAACACCGAUGGCGAAGGCAGAUCUCUGGGCCGUAACUGACGCUGAGGAGCGAAAGCGUGGGGAGCGAACAGGAUUAGAUACCCUGGUAGUCCACGCCGUAAACGUUGGGCGCUAGAUGUGGGGACCAUUCCACGGUUUCCGUGUCGCAGCUAACGCAUUAAGCGCCCCGCCUGGGGAGUAC
Molecule: ribosomal RNA, 627 nt
Filed under: uncultured Actinomycetes bacterium
Lineage: Bacteria; Bacillati; Actinomycetota; Actinomycetes
Description: bacterial SSU rRNA
Rfam family: Bacterial small subunit ribosomal RNA
Source: RNAcentral